This 449-nucleotide ribosomal RNA is filed under the name uncultured bacterium. RNAcentral describes it as "partial 16S ribosomal RNA". It matches the Rfam family "Bacterial small subunit ribosomal RNA", at positions 29 to 523 of the family's 1533-position model. The record is from RNAcentral.
AACGAACGCUGGCGGCAGGCUUAACACAUGCAAGUCGAACGCAUCCUUCGGGGUGAGUGGCAGACGGGUGAGUAACGCGUGGGAACGUGCCCUUCAGUUUGGAAUAACCCAGGGAAACUUGGGCUAAUACCGGAUACGCCCUAACGGGGAAAGAUUUAUCGCUGAAGGAUCGGCCCGCGUCUGAUUAGCUAGUUGGUGAGGUAAAGGCUCACCAAGGCGACGAUCAGUAGCUGGUCUGAGAGGAUGAUCAGCCACACUGGGACUGAGACACGGCCCAGACUCCUACGGGAGGCAGCAGUGGGGAAUAUUGGACAAUGGGCGCAAGCCUGAUCCAGCCAUGCCGCGUGAGUGAUGAAGGCCUUAGGGUUGUAAAGCUCUUUCGGCGGGGACGAUAAUGACGGUACCCGCAGAAGAAGCCCCGGCUAACUUCGUGCCAGCCGCCGCAGUAA